Molecule: ribosomal RNA, 441 nt
Filed under: uncultured bacterium
Lineage: Bacteria
Description: partial 16S ribosomal RNA
Rfam family: Bacterial small subunit ribosomal RNA
Source: RNAcentral
CUACGGGUGGCUCCAGUGGGGAAUUUUGCGCAAUGGGCGAAAGCCUGACGCAGCAACGCCGCGUGGAGGAUGAAGGUUUUCGGAUCGUAAACUCCUGUCAAGUGGGAAGAAAAUUUGACGGUACCGCUAGAGGAAGCCCCGGCUAACUCCGUGCCAGCAGCCGCGGUAAUACGGAGGGGGCAAGCGUUGUUCGGAAUUAUUGGGCGUAAAGCGUAUGUAGGCGGUCGAACAAGUCAGGCGUGCAAUCCCUCGGCUCAACCGAGGAUUUGCGCUUGAAACUGUUUGACUUGAGUGCAGGAGAGGAAAGUGGAAUUCCCAGUGUAGCGGUGAAAUGCAUUGAUAUUGGGAAGAACACCGGUGGCGAAGGCGGCUUUCUGGCCUGCUACUGACGCUGAGAUACGAAAGCCAGGGGAGCGAACGGGAUUAGAUACCCUAGUAGUC